AGCACCACAACAGGUGGAGCCUGCGGUUUAAUCGGACUCAACGCCGGGAAACUCACCAGAUAAGACAGCUGAAUGAUAGUCGGGCUGAAGACUCUACUUGACUAGCUGAGAGGAGGUGCAUGGCCGUCGUCAGUUCGUACUGUGAAGCAUCCUGUUAAGUCAGGCAACGAGCGAGACCCACGCCAACAGUUGCCAGCUCGUCCUCCGGGAUGGUGGGGACACUGUUGGGACCGCCUCUGCUAAAGAGGAGGAAGGAGUGGGCAACGGUAGGUCAGCAUGCCCCGAAUUAUCUGGGCUACACGCGGGCUACAAUGGGUGGGACAAUGGGUAUCGACACCGAAAGGUGAAAGCAAUCUCCUAAACCCAUCCGUAGUUCGGAUUGUGGGCUGCAACUCGCCCACAUGAAGCUGGAAUCUGUAGUAAUCGUGUCUCAAAAUGGCACGGUGAAUAUGUCCCUGCUCCUU
RNAcentral lists this ribosomal RNA (464 nucleotides) under uncultured Methanomicrobiales archaeon. Its description in RNAcentral is "bacterial SSU rRNA". It matches the Rfam family "Archaeal small subunit ribosomal RNA", at positions 875 to 1338 of the family's 1478-position model. Lineage: Archaea; Methanobacteriati; Methanobacteriota; Methanomicrobia; Methanomicrobiales. The record is from RNAcentral.